AUCGUAGAGAUUUUAGUAAAAAUAGAGGAAGAGCCAGAGACAAGGUGUGUACCUGGGGCUGUGCACCUGUUAUUGGUGCUGGGAGAGAAGUCUUUCUCCUACAGUCAGGUGCCAAAACUUCAUUCCAGGCUAGCUGACAGGUGAGAAACAGAUGCUGUUUUCUAGAAUCAACACACGUGCAGCAACCAGGGACUUGGAAUGGAUGGGAUCUGGGAGCAGCCCCAAUGUUUGAUGAUUCUACUUCCUGCUAAAUAAACCAAGUCUGUUUGA
Arvicola amphibius (Eurasian water vole) is the source of this 270-nucleotide long non-coding RNA. RefSeq lists it as uncharacterized. The record is from RefSeq and is a predicted model, not a curated record. Lineage: Eukaryota; Metazoa; Chordata; Mammalia; Rodentia; Cricetidae. The transcript is spliced from 2 exons.